This 402-nucleotide ribosomal RNA is filed under the name uncultured prokaryote. RNAcentral's name for it is "bacterial SSU rRNA". It matches the Rfam family "Bacterial small subunit ribosomal RNA", at positions 355 to 774 of the family's 1533-position model. The record is from RNAcentral.
UAGGGAAUAUUAGAAAUGGACGAGAGUCUGAUCUAGCAACACCGCGUGUGCGAAGAAGGCCUUCGGGUCGUAAAGCACUUUUUGGAAGGAAUAGGAAGGAAUGUACUUCCAGAAUAAGUCUCGGCUAACUACGUGCCAGCAGCCGCGGUAACACGUAGGAGGCGAACGUUAUCCGGAUUUACUGGGCGUAAAGCGCGUGUAGGUGGUUCUGUAAGUAGGGCGUGAAAGCUCCUGGCUCAACUGGGAGAGGCCGUUCUAAACUACAGAACUAGAGGAUGGUAGAGGGAGGUGGAAUUCCAGGUGUAGCGGUGGAAUGCGCAGAUAUCCGGAGGAACACCAGUGGCGAAAGCGGCCUUCUGGACCAAAUCUGGCGCUCAGACGCGAAAGCUAGGGUAGCGAACG